UAUACAUUACGCAGCAGAACAUUAGAACAUAAUGUAAAAUACAUAGUUUUUAAAUGACAAUGAUUUGUUCAGCAGUUGGUUGUACUUCAGAGUUCUACGAUUACAAUUACUGUAGCUCCCUUAAUUGCUAAUCAAACUGCAAAAUGAAACACACAAACAAGCCAUUGUUGUAAAACAAACCAUUUUAAUUUGGCAAAAAGGGUAUGCACUGCCAAGUCAUUUGACACUAUUAAAAUGCAUUCAGUAUGAACAGUGCAACAGAAAUGUGCUUAACUGUAUCUUUCUGUGCUCCCCAAUGUGAUGUGCUAAUAUAUCUAUCAUACAUUCAAAAAGUGUGCUCUCUCUCGUCUCUGCUAGGUGUGCACACUCACUGAAGCAAUGGAAAAAAAAUCAUGGCAAAGCCUUUUAAAAUCACCUUAUCUGAUGGCUUCCAUACAUAAGUUCAGUGUUUAUUAAUGAAAUGGCUUAAGGCCCAAGCACAUCCAUUAAUACAAAAAAAAUCAAACCACGGGAACCUAGAUUUAAUGAUUCUUCAAGUAUGGUUCUUUAAAAAUAAUUAAAUAUAAAUAUGUCAUUAUUAUGUACAUAACUUAUAGGAUUACAUGUAAAGCAGGUCAAUUUUAGAUGGAGAUUAUAUAGGAUUUGUUGAUAUAUAUAUAUAACAUAAAUACGACCCACAACUGGUUGUUUGUUAGAUAAAAAAAAAAAAACAGCAGUGAAAACCAUCACAUUUUACCUGUACAUUUGUCUUUCACUGUAUUGCAUUAUGGUUGCAUUUUCACGGGUCUCUGAUGGUAAUGAAAUAAGUGUUUCUAAACAGUAGAGUGCUCCAUGCUGUCAAUACAAAGUGUUUCUGUAGGAGUAGAGCUAUAUUUUCAUCAGACACUCAAGUAAACAAAACUUAAGAUAACCCCAGCGGACCGAAUGAAUUUACUUUCUACUCACUGACAGAAUAAAAGAUCUCCAUAUCUGCUGAAGACCGCUGUGAGGGUUAUUAAAUGCACAAAUGCAUAACGAAGUUUGCAGAAAUUGAAUCUGAACUCAGAACUCCACACACCCCUGCACAGAAUCGACAAUACAGCAAGACUGAGAUAAAGAUGAACUAGUCAUCAUUCAUCAUCCGCUUGAGAUAAAUAUUCUCUACAUACUGUUACUAUAAACAAGUGUGUACUGCAUACAAAAUUAAGACCGCUAGUUGUGAAAACUAGGCACACCCAAAAUUACAUUGAAUAUAUCAGAAUGUAGACAAAGCACAAACAUGCAUGGUUUACAAAUACUGCCUAGUUGUUCCCCAGUUAACUUGCCAUUGCAGUUUAACAUCAGUUUGCAAAGUCUCUAACUGUAUUCGCUUUUAUUCAAUGUGAAUAAAAAUAUAUAAACCCUAAAUUAUCUCAACUUUACAGACAAAAUGUGUACAUAAAUUCUCAAAACAUUAAAAAAUGUAGCGAGGGAAAUUAAUACUUGCAUUAAAAUGGCAUGAAAAUACAAAUAUUAGCGGCACCACUUAAAAUGAAUGAAGCCUAAAAAAUGCCAAGAGUUCACUGUAGUUACUGUACACAAUGCUAUCCUACUGUCACAUUAAGCUUGAAAUAUCUAUACUCUAGAUUCACCGUUGUCUCCUGUUACUAUUGCACUGCCUGUAUAUUAUCUCUCUCCAGUGACUCUCUGUCAUCUCACUGAAAUAUUUAUUGCUUCUUAUUUUUAGGGGCUUUGUGAGCAGGUUAUGCCCCACUCUCUCUUGACGUUCUGCAGCUUGCGUUUCUCUUUACAAAUUCAAAGAUAUGGAUGUUUGGUAACUUUUUUGAAAAUUGCUUUGCUUUUUCACGCCUGCCUUAACCUAAUCUAUUGAAAUAUUGAACUCUUUUCCACCUCAGAAGUUUGAAAGUAAUUUCCGCAUGGCCUGUUCCUCUAGGUAUUGGAGCCCAUCCCCAUGGCCCCUUGCAUACUAAAAUACUCGGUGAAGUGGGACAUUAAUCUGGGAGGAGGGGGAGAGUGUGCGGAGCUGCGUGGUGGUAUGGGAGGAGGAAGAGGGGAGAAUGACUGUCCAUUCGUUAAUGUCAUUUCAUAUUCCAGCUGCAGCCCUUCUCCC
Long non-coding RNA from Cyprinus carpio carpio, 2089 nucleotides. The record is from Ensembl. NCBI's taxonomy places the organism in Eukaryota, Metazoa, Chordata, Actinopteri, Cypriniformes, Cyprinidae.